UGGACCUAUUUAUAGGCCGGCCAUGACAGAGCUCCGGCAGAGAUAUUUUUCUCCGCCGAGCUUAUCUGUGGCGCUAGUUCACUGCCAUCUGGCCGAGGUGGUCUGGCAUA
Molecule: microRNA precursor, 110 nt
Filed under: Sorghum bicolor (sorghum)
Lineage: Eukaryota; Viridiplantae; Streptophyta; Magnoliopsida; Poales; Poaceae
Description: miR5383 stem-loop (sbi-MIR5383)
Source: miRBase by way of RNAcentral